GUGGGGAAUAUUGCACAAUGGGGGAAACCCUGAUGCAGCAACGCCGCGUGAGUGAUGACGGCCUUCGGGUUGUAAAGCUCUGUCUUCAGGGACGAUAAUGACGGUACCUGAGGAGGAAGCCACGGCUAACUACGUGCCAGCAGCCGCGGUAAUACGUAGGUGGCAAGCGUUGUCCGGAUUUACUGGGCGUAAAGGGAGCGUAGGUGGAUAUUUAAGUGGGAUGUGAAAUACUCGGGCUUAACCUGGGUGCUGCAUUCCAAACUGGAUAUCUAGAGUGCAGGAGAGGAAAGUAGAAUUCCUAGUGUAGCGGUGAAAUGCGUAGAGAUUAGGAAGAAUACCAGUGGCGAAGGCGACUUUCUGGACUGUAACUGACACUGAGGCUCGAAAGCGUGGGGAGCAAACAGGAUUAGAAACCCUGGUAGUCC
This 425-nucleotide ribosomal RNA is filed under the name uncultured bacterium. RNAcentral's name for it is "partial 16S ribosomal RNA". It matches the Rfam family "Bacterial small subunit ribosomal RNA", at positions 354 to 796 of the family's 1533-position model. The record is from RNAcentral.